RNAcentral lists this ribosomal RNA (478 nucleotides) under uncultured bacterium. Its description in RNAcentral is "partial 16S ribosomal RNA". It matches the Rfam family "Bacterial small subunit ribosomal RNA", at positions 28 to 507 of the family's 1533-position model. The record is from RNAcentral.
GACGAACGCUGGCGGCGUGCUUAACACAUGCAAGUCGAACGGGAUUUAGUAGACAGAAGCCUCGGCUAAAGAUUCCUACGGAGAGUGGCGACCGGGUGAGUAACGCGUGGGCAACCUGCCAAUGACAGUGGGAUAGCCUCGGGAAACCGGGAUUAAUACCGCAUCAUAUCGUAGAAACACAUGUUUCAACGGUCAAAGAUUUAUCGGUCAUAGAUGGGCUCGCGUCUGAUUAGCUAGUUGGUGAGAGAACAGCCAGCCAAGGCGACGAUCAGUAGCCGGUCUGAGAGGCUGAACCGUCACAUUGGAAAUGAGACACGGACCAAACUCGUACGGGAGGGAGCAGUGGGGAAUAUUGCACAAGGGAGGAAACCCUGAUGCAGCGACGCCGCGUGAACGAAGUAGGUAUUCGUAACGUAAAGUUCUGUCCUAUGGGAAGAUAAUGACAGUAACAUAGAAGAAAGCACCGGCUAAAUACGUG